AGUUGCUACGGGACGCAACAGUGAGGAAUAUUGGUCAAUGGGCGAGAGCCUGAACCAGCCAAGUCGCGUGAAGGAUGACGGCCCUACGGGUUGUAAACUUCUUUUGUCAGGGAGCAAUUGGGUCCACGUGUGGGCUUAGCGAGAGUACCUGAAGAAAAAGCAUCGGCUAACUCCGUGCCAGCAGCCGCGGUAAUACGGAGGAUGCGAGCGUUAUCCGGAUUUAUUGGGUUUAAAGGGUGCGUAGGCGGAAUAUCAAGUCAGCGGUAAAAAUUCGGGGCUCAACCCCGUCGUGCCGUUGAAACUGG
This 305-nucleotide ribosomal RNA is filed under the name uncultured bacterium. Its description in RNAcentral is "bacterial SSU rRNA". It matches the Rfam family "Bacterial small subunit ribosomal RNA", at positions 335 to 636 of the family's 1533-position model. The record is from RNAcentral.